Gopherus flavomarginatus (Mexican gopher tortoise) is the source of this 494-nucleotide long non-coding RNA. RefSeq lists it as uncharacterized. NCBI's taxonomy places the organism in Eukaryota, Metazoa, Chordata, Testudines, Testudinidae. The transcript has 3 exons. The record is from RefSeq and is a predicted model, not a curated record.
GGGGGCGGCCAGCCCCAAGUCCCCCCCGCCUGCACCCCAACCUACACCCAACCUGAACCCCCCACCACUGAUGACCUCCAGUGAGGAGGCAGGAUAAGAGCCCACUACUGCCACCUUUGAAGGGAUCUCCCCCCAACACCCCUGGGCAGGGAGAGGGGAGGGAGCAGGAAUGGGUGUUAGUUGGGGGGCAGGGGCCCAUAUCUGCCUGCUGAGCAGCCAUCAGUGGAUGGCAACAGUAUAGGGGGUAGCAGGGAGGUCCAUACCUGUCUGGUAAGCAGCCGGCAGUGCGUGGCGAUGGCGUAGGGGCGCUGUGGGGCGGGUGAGGUGGGGCGCACCGUGGGGCAGUACCUGGCCGGUGAGCAGCCGGCAGUGCGUGGCGAUGGCGUAGGGGCGCCGUGGGGCAGGUGAGCUGGGGGGCGCCGUGGGGCAGUACCUGGCCGGUGAGCAGCCGGCAGUGCGUGGCGAUGGCGUAGGGGCGCCGUGGGGCGGGUGAG